CUACGGAGGGUGCAAGCGUUAUUCGGAAUCACUGGGCGUAAAGGACGCGUAGGCGGGUUGGCAAGUCAGAUGUGAAAUCCUACAGCUUAACUGUAGAACUGCAUUUGAAACUGCUAACCUAGAGUAUGGGAGGGGGAGAUGGAAUUAGUGGUGUAGGGGUAAAAUCCGUAGAUAUCACUAGGAAUACCGAAAGUGAAGGCGAUCUCCUGGAACAUAACUGACGCUAAGGCGUGAAAGCGUGGGGAGCAAACAGGAUUAGAAACCCUAGUAGUCC
Molecule: ribosomal RNA, 274 nt
Filed under: uncultured bacterium
Lineage: Bacteria
Description: partial 16S ribosomal RNA
Rfam family: Bacterial small subunit ribosomal RNA
Source: RNAcentral